GUGUCGAAACCUUUAUGGAGUGAAAAAAAGAUAAAAAUAAAAAGUGAAGGCAGCAAAAGAGAUUCUACUUCCCAUAAAAUGAAUGUGAUAAUUGGAAAGGGCCUGGAGUUGAAAAUUUGGAAUCCAUAAGCAAAAGCU
Molecule: long non-coding RNA, 138 nt
Organism: Coffea eugenioides
Lineage: Eukaryota; Viridiplantae; Streptophyta; Magnoliopsida; Gentianales; Rubiaceae
Exons: 3
Source: RefSeq, a predicted model, not a curated record